CCUACGGGAGGCUGCAGUGAGGAAUAUUGGUCAAUGGACGAGAGUCUGAACCAGCCAAGUAGCGUGAAGGAUGACUGCCCUAUGGGUUGUAAACUUCUUUUAUAUGGGAAUAAAAUGUUCCACGUGUGGGACUUUGUAUGUACCAUAUGAAUAAGGAUCGGCUAACUCCGUGCCAGCAGCCGCGGUAAUACGGAGGAUCCGAGCGUUAUCCGGAUUUAUUGGGUUUAAAGGGAGCGUAUGUGGAUUGUUAAGUCAGUUGUGAAAGUUUGCGGCUCAACCGUAAAAUUGCAGUUGAAACUGGCAGUCUUGAGUACAUGAGAGGUGGGCGGAAUUCGUGGGGUAGCGGUGAAAUGCUUAGAUAUCACGAAGAACUCCGAUUGCGAAGGCAGCUCACUGGACUGCAACUGACACUGAGGCUCGAAAGUGUGGGUAUCAAACAGGAUUAGAUACACGGGUAGUC
RNAcentral lists this ribosomal RNA (460 nucleotides) under uncultured bacterium. RNAcentral describes it as "partial 16S ribosomal RNA". It matches the Rfam family "Bacterial small subunit ribosomal RNA", at positions 338 to 795 of the family's 1533-position model. The record is from RNAcentral.